Molecule: long non-coding RNA, 1016 nt
Filed under: Brassica rapa (field mustard)
Lineage: Eukaryota; Viridiplantae; Streptophyta; Magnoliopsida; Brassicales; Brassicaceae
Description: long non-coding RNA (BRAP_LNC004620)
Source: RNAcentral
GUCCAGACAAUGACUAAUAACAUAUGAAACCCGUACUUUAAAAACAUUCUUUAUAUAUCAUUCAAAAACAUCUUACGAAAUUUGUUAUAUAUAAUCUCGAGGUUUUCGGUCAACAAAUCUUAUACAUAAGAAAUAUCAAAACGACUUUGCAAGGAUGAUAAAACUACCGCUAGCUAAUGUUGUUCCUUCCAGUCCUAGAGUAAGGUCUCCCAUCUACUGGUUAUCUGCAUCACAAAUGAGUCAUGAGUAACUAGUUUGCUCAGUAAGCCUAGUCCCACACCCUAACGUAUAUUAAUAAUAUCACAAGCAAUGAACUUCAUUUGUAUGCAGUGGAAAUAUAUUCCAUAGUUAAUAAAAAUACAUAUAUAAGGCAUAUCAUUCCAUCGAUGUGAAUCUUAUCUUAUACCUCGCUUCCUAUUCCCGUAUUCCAUAUCACUCAUAUAAUCAUACAUAUAUAUAUGCUAGACCCGAGAAACCACAAAGGCUAAACGAGUCUAGCGAGUUAGCAUCACCAUCAUCGUCGAAUGUCCAAUAUGAACAUUCGACACUACAUCGUCAUGCAGUACACGGUCUACAGGGUGCCCCCAUCAUCUUGUCUUUAUGACCUGGUUCCAUUCGCAGGACCAGUCACGGUACUAAUCGUUCAUACGUGAAUAUUUUGAGAAACAGGUUUAAUAAGACUUCACAUAAUUAAUACUCCAUACUUAUUUAUAUACAUAUAUAAAUUAGUACUUGAGAACAAGUACUAAGACUUGGGAUGAACCUCAAAGAAUAAAUCAUAAUAAUUUUUAAGUGUUUACAUAAGUAAACACCUAACCAUUCAAUAUAAAUUAAAGACUUACUUAUCAAACAAGCAUAAUCAGUAAUUUCAAUCAAGCAACACUUAAUCCUAAAACUCAUCAAUCAUCUAUCUAGACUCACCUUUAAAUCCAUGAGAUUGGCUAAGGAAGACUAGACUCGAGUUCAAGCUCAAGCUAAUCACACUCGGCUUCUGGAACAUUCUCGAAUUAAAACCA